UGGGGAAUAUUGCGCAAUGGGGGAAACCCUGACGCAGCGACGCCGUGUGAGGGAAGAAGGUUUUCGGAUCGUAAACCUCUGUCGGAAGGGAAGAACCACACUUGGUCUAAUAGGCCUUGUGUCUGACGGUACCUUCAAAGGAAGCACCGGC
RNAcentral lists this ribosomal RNA (151 nucleotides) under uncultured Pseudomonadota bacterium. RNAcentral describes it as "uncultured proteobacterium partial 16S rRNA". It matches the Rfam family "Bacterial small subunit ribosomal RNA", at positions 355 to 497 of the family's 1533-position model. The record is from RNAcentral. Lineage: Bacteria; Pseudomonadati; Pseudomonadota.